CUGACUUGAAACAUGCUUUGAUGAAUUAGUGCAACUCGGCCAGCCAUUUACUUUAAAUUUUACCCUUGAUUCUUCCUCUAGCAAACAAUUAAGGAGCAGCAGUGGCUUCCUGCAGGGGAGACCAAUGCCUUCUGUCCUCAGCGGAAACAGCUUGGCAUUCUUCCAAUUGAUGAAUGGCAUGGACCAGGAGCACUAGUUAUCUUCAGCUUCUGAGCAUCCGAAUAAAUAAACAUACAAAUGCAUAACAUAAAAUAAAUUCAAAUUACAAAUGAGAAAACCAAUCUAGGUUACCGGCAAGUCCUAUGACUUGAUGUGGAGGCCUGGAAGUGCAUCCUUGAAUCUUGCAAUGCAGUGAGCCAAGGAGCAAUGAGAGGCCACAUGAAUAACCGGGCCAGUGACAAGACACAUGUCCUCCUCCUUGCUGGUAUACACCAGAAUGCCCCGCAUGCAGCGAAUGCUCAAAAAGUGUUGGUGGAAGUGACAGAAUUCCAUCACCAUUAAACACAACCAGUGUUGCGGUUGACAAUGCUUUGUGCUGAUGAACAUGGUCACCUUGAAAGGUGUGUUGAAUAUGGCAGAGCCAGAAAAUGCAAGGAGCUUCUUCUCUGGAUCACCACUUGAAGAAGAGCCACUUGCUCCUCAGGAACCCUAUUUUGGACUGACGUUGCAAGAAAGCUCAAGUAGCCUAUGGAGAGGAUGCAAGGCUUCCAGCUGAUGCCCUCAGCCAGGCUCAGUAGCAGCCAGAACUAGCCUACCAACGAACCUGCUGAUCAUGUGCAUAAGCCACCUUGAACGUCGAUCCUCCUGCCUGGUGGAGCCAUCCCAGCUGAUGCCACAUGAAGCAGACACAAGCUGUCCCUACUAAGCUCUGCUCAAGUUGGAUAUUCAUGAGUGAAAUAAAUGACUGUUACUAAGUAAUUAAUUUUUGGGUGGCUGUUAUGUAGCAGUAGAUAAUUGGAACAAAGCUUAUUGACAUAAUACAUCUAUAUCACAUCCUCCAAUCCAUUUUUUUAAGUAAUAAAGUUGAUGUUUGUUUUGAUUUUCAGUUACAGCUUUACAUAUUUUGUCUUAAUUAGUCAAUUUUUUCCAAACUCAAAAUGGGUUUUUGUAAGAGUAGUAGUAGGGUCCUAGAAUAAUGGCAAUUCUCUUUCACUGGAGAAAGUUUUGUAGAGAAGACAAAAGAAUUUUUACAAGUACUCCACUGGUGAAAACUCAUAAACCUUGAAGGUAUUUUUAAAUUCAUCAUGCAUUUAUCAAUUUAUAAAUGAAUUCAUCAUUCAUUGGUCCAUUCAUCCAUCCCUCCAUCCAUUUCUAGAUCCUCUCAUAAGAGGAAAUCUAGGAAUAAGCCUGAUCAGUGAAAGUUUCAUGGGAAAGAGGAAGGAGGAAGAAAUUAUUUUAUUUUUAGAGUUUUGGGAGUUAGUGGUUAUGGACUUGCACUGGAGAAGAUGGGUGAGAAAGUUCAAGGUUUCUAAAAUGGGAAAGUAGGCCUGGAGAAAAUGUUGCAACCAAGAUUAUAAGGCCAAUUACCAGGUCUGAUUACCAGAAAAUAAUUUUUAAGGCAGGAAUAUUAGGCCAUAUCAGUACCUGAAAGAGUGAUCGAGGCUAAUUUGUUCAUUCAUGUAACAACAAUUUAUUAUGUGCUACUAAGUACCAUCACUAUAUUAUAAACUGAGGGUUCAGUAGUGGAUAAGAGAAACUAAUUCCCUGGCCUAAUGAAGAUUUCAUUCAACGGGGAAAACAAGAAACAUAUAUGUAAAUUAGCAAAAGUUAAUAAUAUCAUUCAAAGAGUGCUAAGAGCUCUGAAAAUAGUAAAGCAGGGUGACUGAUAAAACAGGACUAAGCAGGUAACAGUAAGAGGUGAUCAGGGAAAAAACCUCUGAAGAAAACAUAUUUGAUCUGGAAUCCAAAUGGCAAGUAGAAUGAAGAAGGUAAAUAAUUCAUACAAGAGCAUAUCUCUUCCAUAGCAAGUGCAAAGACCCUGGGCAAAUGCCAUAGUUGAGCUAGCACCCACCACUGGCUUCAAGUGAUGGGUGAGUGAUACAGACUCAAGGAAAGGGCCAAAAGGGCAGACAAAACCAGUUCAAUUUGUCACUUAUUCAUCCACCCAUUGAUCCAUCUACUGAUCCAUUUAUCCAUCCAUCCAUCCAUCCAUCCAUCCAUCCAUCCAUCCAUCUAUUCAACAUACAUGUUGGGUGCCCUUUACAUACCAGGACCUGUACUGGGCAUGGGAACUGCAGAGAUGAAAAGAUGAACAAUCUCUGUACUUGAGGGACUCAUCUCACUCUGUGAGAUGAACUGGCAUGUGACUGAAAACUCACUAUAUUGGUAACGAGACUAAAACACAGAGCUUAAUGAUUUAACCUGAUACCACCCAAGUGGUUAGCGGUUAGUGGCAGGGCUUCAGAAUUUUAUUUUCCUUCCCUACAGGGAAAACCAUUAUGUGUGACCUACUUUUUCAAACUCUCUUCCUCAGUGGGGCAACAAUUAGAGUUUAUCUAUUGCUAGUGCUUACCAUUUUAGGCUCCUUUAAUUAGAGUGUUUUAAAUUAGUGUUAUUUUAAUUUUGCUUAUCUCCUGAGACAUUAUAGAGGAUAAAUAGCAAAUGAAAUAAUGUACAUGAAAACACAUUGUAACCCAUAAACCAUCAUACAGAUGUGUGUUAUAUACAGUUUUAUAUUUGAGGAUAUAGCUUUAUGCAUUAGUACUGCUUCCUCCUCAGGGAUGUCUCCAAAAGAAUUCAGAGUAAAACAGACUUGUGGAUUGAUGCUUUAAAGACAUUUUGUAUUUUCUUUAAAAAUAAAAUUGACUCACAGUAGGUGCUUAAUAAAUAUUUGUUCAAAGAAUGCAUAAGAUGCAAUAUUCAGAGACAUAGAUUCAGUGUAGUAGGCAUCAGUGUGGCUACUUGGCUACUUACUGUGCAAAAGAUGUCAAUUUGUGAGUGCAAAUUCAUCUUAAGGAAAUUCUCUGAUUUAAUUUAAGCAUUGGUAGAGAGAUUUACUAUUAUCCUCCUUGGAAAUGAAAAGCAUAUAGCUCAGGGAAGGAAGAUCACAUUUUUAGGAGAACUAUCUGGGGGCAGAUUACCCAAAGUGUUAAUUAUUAUAAUUACUAUUGUUAAGUUGGUUUUAAAGUCCUAUAUGAUGUAAUAUCAUGUUCUCUUUUUGUUUCUCCAG
RNAcentral lists this long non-coding RNA (3169 nucleotides) under Homo sapiens (human). Its description in RNAcentral is "HSALNT0143615". Lineage: Eukaryota; Metazoa; Chordata; Mammalia; Primates; Hominidae. The record is from RNAcentral.